This is a long non-coding RNA of Cryptomeria japonica (Japanese cedar), 2077 nucleotides long. RefSeq lists it as uncharacterized. NCBI's taxonomy places the organism in Eukaryota, Viridiplantae, Streptophyta, Pinopsida, Cupressales, Cupressaceae. The transcript has 2 exons. The record is from RefSeq and is a predicted model, not a curated record.
GAUAAAAGUUUAAGAGAUUUAUUGUUGAAGAUGGACUUCUAGAACAAAAACUUUUGCACACUCUACAUAUUGUCCAUGAUUUGGCAAAGAUACUUCUACAAAUAUGCUAAUGACAGUGAUUCAUCCCAUGUCCAGCAUGCGACCAUCAAAAACUGAAAAGGCCCAUGCAAUAGACGACUAAAUCACUAGUCAACAUCUCAAGAAAUGCGGGAAGAUGAGCCCUGCCCAUUAAGUCAGCAUGCAGAUGGACAGGAGACAAAAUUCCGAGGCCGUAUAUUUUUUUCACUGUCUUGUCUUGUUUUGAAAAAUGAAUAGCAUAGUUUAAAACCCUUUCCAUGUUAGAUGGGCAGGCCCAGGGAGUUCUAUAAAUUGCGCCAUUUUGAUCUAUCAGAAAAAGUUAAGUUGAUUUUAUAAGCUCAGCGAGGUUAGGGUUCUAUUAAGAAUAAUCCAAAUGAUUUUUUUUAACAGAUUUACACAUUUUAUAUCCCUUGAUUUUUUAUAUUUUUACUUGUUUUGAGGCUAUGGUCAAAUUCACAGCCAGCAAGCCCUUGACGGCUCUAAGCCCAGAAAAAGUUAAAUAUAGGCUUUGCUUAUCAGAAGAAUGGCAAGUUUAGAAAUUCACUCAACAAUGAUGGAGUGGGUUUAAACUUUUACCAUGUUAAGGUGGAGCUUUCAGAAACCCAAAACGCCUAUUCGUUCCAAUCAAAAUCUUUUCCUUUUUUAAUACCAGACUAUUUGCUCCGUUGCUGCCAGUCCCAAACUGAAGAACCAACAAAUCAUAUUACGUGCAUCUUAAAACGGGGCAAUCACGUUUGGUCUCAAACUGGCCAGAAAGUACUGUUUCAUCUUGCUUCUUUUGCUUAGCAGCGAUAUUGAUGAUUGAAGAACCUGGGAAUAUCUAACUGAUAACUCUUGCUACCCCCUUCAACCAUUUUUUAUUUUACCUUUCGAAUUUUUAUUCUCAGCAUCAGAUCACUUGGACAUGCUUUCUCUAAUUACAAAAAGAAAACAACCUGAUUAGAAGCGAUGCACAAGAGAAUUCUUUGUGGGACUCUAAAUCUCUAUCUCAAAAAGUGUCAAUAAGGUUGAGGGAAAUUAGUUUUGUCUCGUUUUACUCCAAUAGCAUCUUUCCUCAUUGUUUACCAGAACACGGAUUUCAUCAUCUACUACAAGUGAUUUCUUUAUAAUUAUUACAUAUUAAUUUACUGACGCCAUUCCAAAUUUGCCAUCAUUCUGUUGGGUAAAUAUCUUCUACAAUUAGUUAAAUCAAGGAUCGUAUUCUUGGACUAUAUGAAAUGGCCAAAAAAAAAAAACAUUACCAAACUCAAAAGGAUCCCUAUCUCCUGACACUCAAAGAUGAGAUAUAGGAACUUGUAGCAUAUCUGUCAUCUCCUUAGUCUUUCAGAUUUUUCAUGAUAAUGACUAGAGUUCUAGGAUCAAGUAACUGCCAUUGUAGUAAGUACUGUAGAGGGAAAAUCUCCAAUGGUUUAUGCUUGUAAUGAAAUAGAGGUGGGGUGAUGAAACAAAUCCUAUCACUGCUCAGAGCCAGAGGGUUUGAAUGAUGGAAACUAUUUUGGUUUGUCAGCAUACACCCCUAUCAAUUGAGACUAGGCUUUACUGUAAUCUACAUCUAUGGUACAACAAAUGGAAUUUUCACUAAUCUACUUACAAUAUUUCAAACUGCUAUGCUAUGGGAAGAAAAUCAAAGCUAAUAAUUGUUGGAAAGUGAUGCAUGAGCCUCUCACCGCCAUGCAUAGAGUUCAGUACAAGUUUUGCCAAUCAGAUUUCUCAUGUGCAAGACCAUGCAGAUUAACUUCAUGUUCAUUGCUAUGCAGUAAUUAGAUAAGAUUUAGUUUGCAUUUAUUUAUAUUUAGAACUGUAAGUUAAUUGAGCUGUUUGAAUAAUGCCCAGCGAAUGCAUGGAAUGUAAUCAACCUAAAUAUAGAAGUGAACUAUUUGUUCCAAGAGGCUGCAACCUCUAUAAAAGACUGCCCUUUGUACCGGUUGAAAUAGAGCUUGGAAAAUGUAGUUAGUUUCUCAAUUCUGAACGAAUAAAAGUUUCUUGUGUGUGUAAAACA